UGUGUGUGGGGGGUAGGGUUUGCAUCAGCCAUAUAGCUGGCAUAUGACCGAACACCCUUUGGAACCCCAAUCUUGAUCUCACCAGCAAACCACAAUGGACUAGACUCCCAGAGAGCAGGUACCAAGGAGCAGCUGUCCAGCCAGAAGAUACUGCACUGGAUGGAGGAUUCCUAGGAGGGAGGCUCAGUGUUCCGGGAACAUUGUCCCACUUGACAGGGAUGGCCUAGAGCAGCAGCCUAAUAUUUCAGGUUUUGCCUUGGGAACUGGAGAAAAAUUCAAAUGACUUGGGACAAUUCAGAAAUCUUCCAAGUUGAGAGAAGGAAAUUUGAAGAGAUUGGAAAAAG
Molecule: non-coding RNA, 344 nt
Organism: Cricetulus griseus (Chinese hamster)
Lineage: Eukaryota; Metazoa; Chordata; Mammalia; Rodentia; Cricetidae
Source: RefSeq, a predicted model, not a curated record